This 22-nucleotide non-coding RNA is filed under the name Arabidopsis thaliana (thale cress). Lineage: Eukaryota; Viridiplantae; Streptophyta; Magnoliopsida; Brassicales; Brassicaceae. The record is from RNAcentral.
UGAAUGAUGCAUAAAAUACAAA